Molecule: non-coding RNA, 94 nt
Organism: Ciborinia camelliae
Lineage: Eukaryota; Fungi; Ascomycota; Leotiomycetes; Helotiales; Sclerotiniaceae
Source: the annotation of a GenBank genome assembly
GCCUUCGUGGCACAAUUGGUUAGCGCGUGGGCCUUUUAAGCUAGUACCUAGCAUUGAAAGCCCAAGGUUGUGGGUUCGAGACCCACCGAAGGCG